GGGGAAUUUUCCGCAAUGGGGGCAACCCUGACGGAGCAACGCCGCGUGCGGGAGGACGGUUUGUGGACUGUAAACCGCUUUUAAUAGGGAAGAAGUACUGACGGUACCUAUUGAAUCAGCAUCGGCUAACUCCGUGCCAGCAGCCGCGGUAAUACGGAGGAUGCAAGCGUUAUCCGGAAUUAUUGGGCGUAAAGGGUCCGCAGGUGGCUUAUCAAGUUAGCUGUUAAAGGCCGGGGCUUAACUCCGGACGAGCAGUUAAAACUGGUAGGCUAGAGUACGGUAGGGGUAGAGGGAAUUCCUAGUGUAGCGGUGAAAUGCGUAGAUAUUAGGAAGAACACCAGUGGCGAAGGCGCUCUACUGGGCCUGUACUGACACUGAGGGACGAAAGCUAGGG
Molecule: ribosomal RNA, 394 nt
Filed under: uncultured cyanobacterium
Lineage: Bacteria; Bacillati; Cyanobacteriota
Description: bacterial SSU rRNA
Rfam family: Bacterial small subunit ribosomal RNA
Source: RNAcentral